CCUACGGGUGGCAGCAGUGGGGAAUAUUGGGCAAUGGAGGAAAGUCUGACCCAGCAACGCCGCGUGAAUGAAGAAGGUCUUCGGAUCGUAAAGUUCUUUAAUCAGGGACGAAUAAAAUGACGGUACCUGAAUAAUAAGCCCCGGCUAACUACGUGCCAGCAGCCGCGGUAAUACGUAGGGGGCAAGCGUUAUUCGGAAUUACUGGGCGUAAAGGGUGCGUAGGCGGUUAUACAAGUUAGAAGUGAAAUACCGAGGGCUUAACCCGGGUGUUGCAUCUAAAACUGUAAGACUUGAGUGCAGGAGAGGAUAGUGGAAUUCCUAGUGUAGCGGUGGAAUGCGUAGAUAUUAGGAGGAACACCAGAGGCGAAGGCGGCUAACUGGACUGCAACUGACGCUGAGGCACGAAAGUGUGGGGAGCAAACAGGAUUAGAUACCCGAGUAGUC
Molecule: ribosomal RNA, 444 nt
Filed under: uncultured bacterium
Lineage: Bacteria
Description: partial 16S ribosomal RNA
Rfam family: Bacterial small subunit ribosomal RNA
Source: RNAcentral